This 75-nucleotide antisense RNA is filed under the name Nocardia asteroides NBRC 15531. Its description in RNAcentral is "ASpks TB sRNA". It matches the Rfam family "ASpks TB sRNA". The record is from Rfam by way of RNAcentral. Lineage: Bacteria; Bacillati; Actinomycetota; Actinomycetes; Mycobacteriales; Nocardiaceae.
CUUGAUCGAGCCGAUCCGCAGCGGCUCGCGCUCCCCACGGUCCUGGCCGUAGGCGGCGAUCAGGGCGUUGGCCUC